CACUGACCUGAUGCUGCACAGAGACCAAGAUAACUAUGAGAGGAAUUUAACUUAUAGUUCAACUUGCAGACAAGGGAAACUGACCCUCCUUCUUGUCCAGAGAUUGAAGCCACAUUCAUAAGAGGCUGGAGUGCAGUGGCAUGAUCUCAGCUGACUACAACCUCCACCUCCCGGGUUCAAGUUAUCCUCCCACCUCACCCUCCCAAGUAGCUGGGACUGCAGGGCCCAGCAUGUCUCUGCAGGAAGGCAGGGCAUCCCACGAUAUCACCAGCUCCUCUAGGAGUAUAGGAGCCAAGGAGCUGCUGAGACCUGCUGAUCACCCACUCACUCCC
RNAcentral lists this long non-coding RNA (332 nucleotides) under Homo sapiens (human). Its description in RNAcentral is "novel transcript". The record is from RNAcentral. Lineage: Eukaryota; Metazoa; Chordata; Mammalia; Primates; Hominidae.